GACGAACGCUGGCGGCGUGCCUAAUACAUGCAAGUUGAGCGAUGAAGCUUGGUGCUUGCACCAAUUUGAAGAGCAGCGAACGGGUGAGUAACGCGUGGGGAAUCUGCCUUUGAGCGGGGGAUAACAUUUGGAAACGAAUGCUAAUACCGCAUAAUAACUUUACACAUAAGUUUUAAGUUUGAAAGAUGCAAUUGCAUCACUCAAAGAUGAUCCCGCGUUGUAUUAGCUAGUUGGUGAGGUAAAGGCUCACCAAGGCGAUGAUACAUAGCCGACCUGAGAGGGGGAUCGGCGACAUUGGGAGUGAGACGCGGCCCAUACUCCUACGAGAGGCAGCAGUAGGGAAUCUUCGGCAAUGGACGAGAGUCUGACCGAGCAGCGCGGCGUGAGUGAAGAAGGUUUUCGGAUCGUAAAACUCUGUUGGUAGAGAAGAACGUUGGUGGGAGUGGAAAGCGCAUCAAGUGACGGUAACUACCCAAAAAGGGACGGCUAACUACGUG
This 497-nucleotide ribosomal RNA is filed under the name uncultured bacterium. RNAcentral's name for it is "partial 16S ribosomal RNA". It matches the Rfam family "Bacterial small subunit ribosomal RNA", at positions 28 to 507 of the family's 1533-position model. The record is from RNAcentral.